CAGAGACAUACCAGAACUCAGGACUUCAACUCUCCGGUCAGUUCUCUGACUAGUAUAUACUACACUGUCUCGUCAGAUAUUAAUUUGGCAACUACAUGGAAGGGAUGUAGAGGAAGGGAGAUAAGACCAUCUAAAGGACAAUCAACUCCGUUUCUCCUUGAAACAAAAAUCAACACAUUUAACAACAUUCUUCUGGCCAUGGCAUAUGGCUUCAAAUGGUGGAAUAUCCAGUCUCUGAAGAUUCAAAACUAUGGGUUACCCAAAAGGAAACUGAGACACACAAGAUAGGAGAAAAAAAAAGGAUAAAGACACCUCCCUUUCAUUGAGAGCUGUUCCUAAUGCAGACACUGGUUUCAAAUGUUCCGGGGACACAAGGAUUGGAAAAUGGAAAGUCCAAAAUCUUUCAGAUUCCUCAAUGUUUACAAGCCGCUCCGUCAUCUGGGAAUGGGAGCUUCUUGGAAACACUCAAGUUUAAAGGAGUUUAAAAGUUAAAGUAGCCUGAAAAAAACUGUGGUUUCUCUACCUUCCAGAAAGUCUAUAUGCUACAUAUUAUAGCCAUCAAUUGCUGGCCUUGAACAUAACAAAUGCAUUAAUAAACCUGGAAUCUUGAACUUGGAAGAUAGCUUG
This 627-nucleotide long non-coding RNA is filed under the name Monodelphis domestica (gray short-tailed opossum). Its description in RNAcentral is "lncRNA (ENSMODG00000031450.2)". The record is from RNAcentral. Lineage: Eukaryota; Metazoa; Chordata; Mammalia; Didelphimorphia; Didelphidae.